UUGCUCUUCAACGAGGAAUCCCUAGUAAGCGCAAGUCAUCAGCUUGCGUUGAUUACGUCCCUGCCCUUUGUACACACCGCCCGUCGCUACUACCGAUUGAAUGGCUCAGUGAGGCUUUCGGACUGGCCCAGAGAGGUGGGCAACUACCACUCAGGGCCGGAAAGUUAUCCAAACUCGGUCAUUUAGAGGAAGUAAAAGUCGUAACAAGGUCUCCGUUGGUGAACCAGCGGAGGGAUCAUUACUGAGUUACCGCUCUACAACCCUUUGUGAACAUACCUUAACUGUUGCUUCGGCGGGCAGGAGGACAACCCCCCUCGGGGGGCGGUCCCCCUCCCGGCCGCGCCCUCACGGGCGUGGCGCCCGCCGGAGGAUACCAAAACUCUAUUUUAACGACGUUUCUUCUGAGUGGCACAAGCAAAUAAUUAAAACUUUUAACAACGGAUCUCUUGGUUCUGGCAUCGAUGAAGAACGCAGCGAAAUGCGAUAAGUAAUGUGAAUUGCAGAAUUCAGUGAAUCAUCGAAUCUUUGAACGCACAUUGCGCCCGCCAGCAUUCUGGCGGGCAUGCCUGUUCGAGCGUCAUUUCAACCCUCAAGCCCAGCUUGGUGUUGGGGCCCUACGGUCGACGUAGGCCCUUAAAGGUAGUGGCGGACCCUCCCGGAGCCUCCUUUGCGUAGUAACUUAACGUCUCGCACUGGGAUCCGGAGGGACUCUUGCCGUAAAACCCCCAAAACUUUUACAGGUUGACCUCGGAUCAGGUAGGAAUACCCGCUGAACUUAAGCAUAUCAAUAAGCGGAGGA
RNAcentral lists this ribosomal RNA (799 nucleotides) under uncultured fungus. RNAcentral describes it as "eukaryotic LSU rRNA". The stretch from base 1 to 241 matches the Rfam family "Eukaryotic small subunit ribosomal RNA", at positions 1593 to 1831 of the family's 1831-position model. The record is from RNAcentral. Lineage: Eukaryota; Fungi.